Molecule: ribosomal RNA, 361 nt
Filed under: uncultured bacterium
Lineage: Bacteria
Description: bacterial SSU rRNA
Rfam family: Bacterial small subunit ribosomal RNA
Source: RNAcentral
CGUGCAGGAUGAAGGCCUUCGGGUUGUAAACUGCUUUUGUACGGAACGAAAAGCUUCGGGUUAAUACCCUGGAGCCAUGACGGUACCGUAAGAAUAAGCACCGGCUAACUACGUGCCAGCAGCCGCGGUAAUACGUAGGGUGCAAGCGUUAAUCGGAAUUACUGGGCGUAAAGCGUGCGCAGGCGGUUUUGUAAGACAGAGGUGAAAUCCCCGGGCUCAACCUGGGAACUGCCUUUGUGACUGCAAGGCUAGAGUACGGCAGAGGGGGAUGGAAUUCCGCGUGUAGCAGUGAAAUGCGUAGAUAUGCGGAGGAACACCGAUGGCGAAGGCAAUCCCCUGGGCCUGUACUGACGCUCAUGCA